GAUUAAGUUAUUAAGGGCGCACGGUGGAUGCCUUGGCACUAGAAGCCGAUGAAGGACGUUACUAACGACGAUAUGCUUUGGGGAGCUGUAAGUAAGCUUUGAUCCAGAGAUUUCCGAAUGGGGAAACCCAGCAUGAGUUAUGUCAUGUUAUCGAUAUGUGAAUACAUAGCAUAUCAGAAGGCACACCCGGAGAACUGAAACAUCUUAGUACCCGGAGGAAGAGAAAGAAAAUUCGAUUCCCUUAGUAGCGGCGAGCGAAACGGGAAGAGCCCAAACCAACAAGCUUGCUUGUUGGGGUUGUAGGACACUCUAUACGGAGUUACAAAGGACGACAUUAGACGAAUCAUCUGGAAAGAUGAAUCAAAGAAGGUAAUAAUCCUGUAGUCGAAAAUGUUGUCUCUCUUGAGUGGAUCCUGAGUACGACGGAGCACGUGAAAUUCCGUCGGAAUCUGGGAGGACCAUCUCCUAAGGCUAAAUACUCUCUAGUGACCGAUAGUGAACCAGUACCGUGAGGGAAAGGUGAAAAGCACCCCGGAAGGGGAGUGAAAUAGAACCUGAAACCGUGUGCUUACAAGUAGUCAGAGCCCGUUAAUGGGUGAUGGCGUGCCUUUUGUAGAAUGAACCGGCGAGUUACGAUUUGAUGCAAGGUUAAGCAGUAAAUGUGGAGCCGUAGCGAAAGCGAGUCUGAAUAGGGCGUUUAGUAUUUGGUCGUAGACCCGAAACCAGGUGAUCUACCCUUGGUCAGGUUGAAGUUCAGGUAACACUGAAUGGAGGACCGAACCGACUUACGUUGAAAAGUGAGCGGAUGAACUGAGGGUAGCGGAGAAAUUCCAAUCGAACCUGGAGAUAGCUGGUUCUCUCCGAAAUAGCUUUAGGGCUAGCCUCAAGUGAUGAUUAUUGGAGGUAGAGCACUGUUUGGACGAGGGGCCCCUCUCGGGUUACCGAAUUCAGACAAACUCCGAAUGCCAAUUAAUUUAACUUGGGAGUCAGAACAUGGGUGAUAAGGUCCGUGUUCGAAAGGGAAACAGCCCAGACCACCAGCUAAGGUCCCAAAAUAUAUGUUAAGUGGAAAAGGAUGUGGCGUUGCCCAGACAACUAGGAUGUUGGCUUAGAAGCAGCCAUCAUUUAAAGAGUGCGUAAUAGCUCACUAGUCGAGUGACACUGCGCCGAAAAUGUACCGGGGCUAAACAUAUUACCGAAGCUGUGGAUUGUCCUUUGGACAAUGGUAGGAGAGCGUUCUAAGGGCGUUGAAGCAUGAUCGUAAGGACAUGUGGAGCGCUUAGAAGUGAGAAUGCCGGUGUGAGUAGCGAAAGACGGGUGAGAAUCCCGUCCACCGAUUGACUAAGGUUUCCAGAGGAAGGCUCGUCCGCUCUGGGUUAGUCGGGUCCUAAGCUGAGGCCGACAGGCGUAGGCGAUGGAUAACAGGUUGAUAUUCCUGUACCACCUAUAAUCGUUUUAAUCGAUGGGGGGACGCAGUAGGAUAGGCGAAGCGUGCGA
RNAcentral lists this ribosomal RNA (1497 nucleotides) under Staphylococcus aureus. RNAcentral's name for it is "partial 23S ribosomal RNA". It matches the Rfam family "Bacterial large subunit ribosomal RNA", at positions 1 to 1498 of the family's 2925-position model. The record is from RNAcentral. Lineage: Bacteria; Bacillati; Bacillota; Bacilli; Caryophanales; Staphylococcaceae.